AGUGAACGCUGGCGGUAGGCCUAACACAUGCAAGUCGAACGGCAGCACAGUAAGAGCUUGCUCUUACGGGUGGCGAGUGGCGGACGGGUGAGGAAUACAUCGGAAUCUACUUUUUCGUGGGGGAUAACGUAGGGAAACUUACGCUAAUACCGCAUACGACCUACGGGUGAAAGCAGGGGAUCUUCGGACCUUGCGCGAUUGAAUGAGCCGAUGUCGGAUUAGCUAGUUGGCGGGGUAAAGGCCCACCAAGGCGACGAUCCGUAGCUGGUCUGAGAGGAUGAUCAGCCACACUGGAACUGAGACACGGUCCAGACUCCUACGGGAGGCAGCAGUGGGGAAUAUUGGACAAUGGGCGCAAGCCUGAUCCAGCCAUACCGCGUGGGCGAAGAGGGCCUUCGGGUUGUAAAGCCCUUUUGUUGGGAAAGAAAAGCAGCAGGUUAAUACCCCGCUGUUCUGACGGUACCCAAAGAAUAAGCACCGGCUAACUUCGUG
Molecule: ribosomal RNA, 492 nt
Filed under: uncultured bacterium
Lineage: Bacteria
Description: partial 16S ribosomal RNA
Rfam family: Bacterial small subunit ribosomal RNA
Source: RNAcentral